Bombus huntii is the source of this 5411-nucleotide RNA transcript. RefSeq lists it as uncharacterized. The transcript has 5 exons. The record is from RefSeq and is a predicted model, not a curated record. NCBI's taxonomy places the organism in Eukaryota, Metazoa, Arthropoda, Insecta, Hymenoptera, Apidae.
ACUAAGAUCUUUUAAAUACAAUUGAAGAUUGUUAAACUCUGCAGCUUCUAAAGUGAAAUAAAUAAAACUUCCGUCUCCUCUCAGAGACAAUUGAUGAUGACUAUCGUUAGACAAAAUAAUUGCACGGUAUGAAAUUAAUUUUCAUAAUAGGGUGAUAUAACAAAUGAAAUUUAGAAAACGUCAAUAAGAAAUAAGAAGAAAACGAACUCUUAAUUCUUCCUUCCUUAGAAACUAAAGAAACUAACUUAAAAGAACAUUACUUUACAAGAGCUCCGUGAAUAUACAAUUUGAAAGGACUGAAAUUAACACGAUUAACCUCGAAUAGGAACGACUAUUAUUUCCUGAAGCUCGAACACGCCGAUUUGCGACAAGAGCCUCGGGUCAACUACUUCUAUUGCAGUUAACUCGAGCAAUGACGAGCCACGUUUCACGGCGUAGCCUGCAGCAUUCAUAAUCGAGUCCCGACGCGGCCGGUUUUUGGAGCGCUCGCGUUUGUACGUUUGAGCGCGUUGUUAAUCGACUAUGUGCAAUUAUUUACAAUAUCCUGUAGAUUCAAUAUUAAUCAAAGGGCUAACGACUGUCAUUUCGUAUUCCCGUUAAUCGUAAAUUCACCGAACCCCCGCAACCCUACGUUAUAAUCCGCCGCAAAUUUCACAAUUUCGCGUAGUGAGCGGAUCAUCGUGCUGGUUCGCGACGAUGUAACGCGUCAGUGAUGCACAGGAAAACGCGCUGCUUCUGAGAUCAGGCGUUACAGAGCGAGUGUGGUAUGGUGGUAUAUUGGAGUUUUUAAGAGAACUAUUGGUCGAUGUUGGCAGACGUUGACUGACGUUGAACAGAAAGCUGUACAUUACGUGCAACCAGUACAUCGUAACGUUUAAAAUUGCCACGGGAUUAAACUCAAAGAAAUAGUCGAUAGUAAGUGAAAAAAUUCAUUUCGGUGGAGAAAUCAAGAAGAAAGUACGUAAUAACUUCUAACGUAACAUUUCGAUGAAUCCACCACUUUUCAAAUUAUUUGCGAAUAUAUUUGAUUUUCUAAAAAUACUUUUUCAUCUUACGAAAACUCACAUAGCUACGAUAGUUUCAGAAACUUUCUGAGCUUACUGUACUUGUAGGUGUAUUUACACAAUACUGCCGAGUUUAUUACCAGGUAUAAUUAAUCUCGAUCGUAUAAUUUCAGGCGAAAACAGGUAUCAGCAUUUCUGAUGAGACUACACGCGAUUGAAUUAUCUUUCCUGGUGGUUAAAGUGGAAAUUAGUUUAUCGUGUGUCUGGUGGACGGAAUGCUGAAUGUAAUGAGAUGUUUCGUAAUAACAUGUUAUUAAAGCAGUGAGUGUUGUUAAUGAACAUAGCAAAGUAUGACUGAAGUGAAAAUUUCAACAGUUUUAUUGGGGAAUCAGGAAUAUUUUUAUAAUACCGUCAAUCGCACGCUCUUAGAAAUUCUACGUGCUUUAUCUUACAUCACGAGGAAAAGGAAUUUUCCAGCCACUCUCUUGGAUAGAAUAAUUCUAGUGAUUAUGCUAUUUAAUAACAAUGCCGUUGAGCACUUAAUGUAUUAUUUUUGAUCAUUUAAAAGUAAAAAAAAAUUUCCUAGAAAGCGUAAUUCAAAAUUGACCUUCCAUUGAUAUUUUUGGAUUAUGGAUAAUUAGUAUAGUUUAAGUUAGAAUAUUUUAGAUCAAUUUAAAAAUAUUUACACAAAUUUGUUACUUGUUCUAUAUUUUACAUGAAAUUGGAUAUUAACAGAUUGUAUUAAAGUACGUGGUGGAUAAUAACGUUGAAACUACAUAAAUUAUUCUAAAUCCAACUCGAAUCGUACUGUGUUACCUAUGGCUACCACUAACAACGUUGGGACUGAAAAUUUAAUUGCGAGAGAUUAAUUUAUUUAGCAUUUACAAAUGCGAACAAUCUGCUUUGUGUAAUAAGUUAAACUGUAAGAACAGACGAAUAGAAAGAAAAGAAAAAAAAUAAUGAAGCAAGUAUACUGUAAUAAAAAAAAAAAAGACUCGUAAUUAAAAUGAAGUUCUUCUUUGAAAUCUUCAAAGAACGAGAAAAUUCACAAAGGAAUUAGUCGGAAGUACUUGAUGUGCCUCAUUAAGUAAAAUCGAUUUCUCUUGAAACAUUCUACUCAAGGUAACAAUUAGCAGUGCUUCACUUUAUGCAGGUAAUUAUUAGUUGAGCUAUUUAUUUCGCGAUAAAUAACCUUGAUUUAAGAUCUGUGUUGCAAUCGUUUCAUCUACCAUGUAAUAUAUGGCCAAGCAUUUGUUUUAACUGGGAUCCAGCGAAAUCUACUUUCUGAUGAUAAAGUUAUACGGAGCUACAAUUAGAAGAAACAAUCUUCGUCACGUUAGGUGAACUUUCCUCUGAUUAUUGCGCGUCAGAAUUUUGCAGUUUCUUUAAAGUGAAUUUAAGGUUCGUGGAUUUACGUUCUUGUUCUUAUUACACUACGUGUGUUGCGUUAUACGAAAAAUAGAAGCUGUACGAAAUAAAAUUUUGAAAUACAAUUAAAAAAUUCUUUUUACAAGACAAAAGAAAAGAAACGGAAAAAAUAUUCAAAUAUCCUUCAAUUCCUUUGUAAAAAGAAUGUAAUCUUCGUAAGAAGAUUUUUUAAAUGUACGAUUACACUAAAUUUGUUUGUGAAUGUUUUCCGAUAUUACAGGAAUGAAACCAUUUUGUCAAAUCCAUCGAAAAUGAUUCGAUUCCAGGGAAAUAAGUAAUAUUGAAUGUAGGAAAUACAUGGUGACAAUUUCCAUUAAGCUUAUAUUGCAUGAUCAAUCAAUAAUUUAUUCAUAACGUACUUCCACUAAAUGCAACAUUAUAUUGUCAUCGUCACUCAAUAAUCCACAUGACAAAGACGAUUUGAUUAUCGGUCAUUUAUAAAAUAGAAUCCCAAUCGAAAACACUAUUGCUGCAAAAACAACGAACAAAUGGUUCCACAUACACAAAACCUUCCAUAAAUUUAUACUGAUAAUUGCCGUUCUAUUGACACUGCGUUAUCAAUUAAUAACUAACUCAUAAAAUAUUACACUUCCAACAUCGUGAAAUUUAAUUCUACAUCAAUAUUAUCAGUUAAUGGCGCACGUAACAGUAAAAUCAUUUACAGAAUCAAUUAUUAUUAUAGAAAAUGCAAAUUUUAAUCGAAGAUAUUAUUGAAACCAACCUGACAGCCACGAUUAUAAAUUUUAAUUGAAGAUUGUAUCUCAAACACAUAGAAUAUCGAAUGAUCUUGAAAACGAAAAUCUAAGGGAGAUAAUUAACUGAAUUCCUAGACACUUAUACGUAUAAUAAACUACCAUAAACAUAGAAAUCCAAUUAAAAAUACUAUUAUUGAAAACACAAGAAGCAAAAGGUUUUUACCAGAGAAUCCUCGAUAAAUCCACUAUCAUUUGAUUGAAAUUUUCAAACACGAUAUCGCCAUUCCGGCAAUAAUAUGAUUAUUUAUUUUCGCAUACUAGAUGAAAAUGAAACCCGCUGAUCGAUGAAUUUACGAUAAUUUUAUAUCUUUUUCUACCAAGUUACCUGUCUACUUUAAUUUCGUCAAACUUCGACGAUAACAGCCUGUAUUUUUUUAAACUUAACUCAAUAAAUAAGCCAAUAUAUCGUCGCUGUCAUUCAGAAAGCCACAAUGACACAAUCCAAAGAUUUCUAGCGAUUUGUUACUGUACAUUUAUAAAAAUAAAACAAUCAGCGAAGGAGACGAUUACCGGUAUGUACAAUAAUUGCACUUUGAACGUAAUUUGUUAUCUGUUAAGUUCGUUAGUAUAAUUAGUACGCAUUUGACUGAUGCCAGCCUGGAGCAGACACAUAACCCUCUUGCCUAAUCAGAGUUUCAUGUAUAGUAAUCGCAUAGUAAGUUGCUUCUGCGACGGUAAAUCGUGAGAAAGGUGGAGUUGCUAAACUUUCCAUAGAGAAGGUCAACCACGACCAGCCUAAUAUGUCACGGUUAUGAAUUCUAAAGAAAUACCUGCGAAUUACACGCGAGUGUCUCUCCGUAAAAGAUCAGCGAACACGGAGACAACUGUUGACGUUGGUAUUUAGAAAGUGCAAAUAUGUAAUUCCAACAAGGAUGGAUAAUUAUUUUGAUGAAAGUUUGGACCAUUGGCUGGAUAUAACAGGAAAUAGUUUUUGCCUUUUACGAUUCAUACUCUUGGCUUGGUUUAUUCCAAAUGCGUAAUCUCCUUUUCCGUUGGAGUAGUCUUUUAGAGUGAUUUAAGAGAUGAUACUUAAUGAGGAGAUUCAUAAUGAAGAGAAUCUUCAUAUCGAGAGAUAUGUAAAUACUUUACGUAUUUGUUAAAUAUUGAUAAGAAGAUUUGUAUGUUGAAAAUUGUUUCUGAUUAUUCUUCUAUGAACUUAAUGACAACCUGUAUUAAUCUGUAUGGCACAUACUUAGUGUUUCAUAAUAUAUAUCAGUAUUUUUUCAUUGCACUCUUAUGACUGAUAUUAAAGAUCGAAGAUACGAAUGAUCUCCUUACAUAGCCUUGUUCAAUAUUGUAUAUAUUCCAAUAUUGUAUAAUUCGCUGAUUAAUAUUAUGCGUUGCUUGGAAGCCUAGUUCAAUAAACUAUCACAAUUUCUAAUAAGGAUUAAAUGCUUCUCGUUCUGAAGCUUCCAGAUCUUGGAAAGAUCAUUUCAUCUCGCCGAUAAAAGAACAAGAGAUUCUAAGCAAAGGAAGACAGAGAAUACAAUGUUCAAAGUCUUCCUAUUUAAAUCCACUAUCGAUCAUCCAAUAUAAAAUCACGUCUAUUAAUAGCAACAGCAGCUGGAAACUAACGAAUUCGCGUUAACCGAAGAUUUCAGGUUCUUCCAGAAACACUAUUCAUGGACGUUACAAUGGAAUCACGCUUUUUAAAUAACAGAGAAGCGGUGUAAAAGAAGACUCGCAUUAACCAAUCAGUGGAACUUUUCAGUCAUCAAACGUUGAGACGCUACGAUUUCGGUAGAUGGAACGUGCGGUUAGCAAGCAGGCGUCGAGAAAACUUCUGAAACUGCCUCGAGACAUAACACGUGCAAAACGAGGCAGAAAAUGAUGUCUGGCCACAAGCUUCGUAAUUCGAGGAUACGAGCCGGUAGAUAGCCGGUGAAUUAUGUAGCAAAGAGAUAAUCGUAGGAGGAGUUCGCUUCGAAAAGUUAAUUGAUACGAGUAGCUGGAUCGUGACGAAUGAAAUUGCUCUGCGUCAGCUCUGUCCCAGUGGAUGGUUGCUGUUAAGACCAUCACGCGCCCUUAAUCGUCAUCUUAAUCUUUGCAGCAUCGGAGUAUCUCAGCAAAUUCUGCUUGAAUUAUCACGAAUUCCUAUCGUGACAUCCUAUCGUACAAUGAAUUCUGGUUUGGUGACUUUACUCUAAAUUAGAAUGUAGAAUGUACAGACUGUAGAAUAUUUUCUUAGGUUAGUGUAUUACGAAUGGAGUGCAAUAAAUGAUAA